This 493-nucleotide ribosomal RNA is filed under the name uncultured bacterium. Its description in RNAcentral is "bacterial SSU rRNA". It matches the Rfam family "Bacterial small subunit ribosomal RNA", at positions 903 to 1397 of the family's 1533-position model. The record is from RNAcentral.
AAAGGAAUUGACGGGGGCCCGCACAAGCAGUGGAGUAUGUGGUUUAAUUCGAAGCAACGCGAAGAACCUUACCAGGGCUUGACAUCCCUCGAAUAAUGUAGAGAUACAUUAGUCCUACGGGACGAGGAGACAGGUGGUGCAUGGUUGUCGUCAGCUCGUGUCGUGAGAUGUUGGGUUAAGUCCCGCAACGAGCGCAACCCCUGUUGUUAGUUGCCAUCAAGUAAAGUUGGGCACUCUAACGAGACUGCCGGUGACAAAUCGGAGGAAGGUGGGGACGACGUCAAAUCAUCAUGCCCCUUAUGUCCUGGGCUACACACGUACUACAAUGGCUGCAACAGAAGGAAGCGAAGGAGCAAUCUGGAGCGAAUCCUAAAAAAGCAGUCUCAGUUCGGAUUGUGGGCUGCAACUCGCCCGCAUGAAGCAGGAAUUGCUAGUAAUGGCAGGUCAGCAUACUGCCGUGAAUACGUUCCCGGGCCUUGUACACACCGCCCGU